GGGCCCGCACAAGCGGUGGAGCAUGUGGUUUAAUUCGAUGAUACGCGAGGAACCUUACCAGGGUUUAAAUGCAGAACGACAGGGGUGGAAACACCCCCUUCUUCGGACGGACUGCAAGGUGCUGCAUGGUUGUCGUCAGCUCGUGCUGUGAAGUGUCGGGUUAAGUCCCAUAACGAGCGCAACCCCCAUUUCUAGUUGCCAGCGGUUCGGCCGGGGACUCUAGAGAAACUGCCGGUGAUAAGCCGGAGGAAGGUGGGGAUGACGUCAAGUCCUCAUGGCCCUUACAGGCUGGGCUACACACGUGCUACAAUGGCGAUGACAGUGGGCAGCGACCCCGCAAGGGUGAGCU
This 349-nucleotide ribosomal RNA is filed under the name uncultured bacterium. RNAcentral's name for it is "bacterial SSU rRNA". It matches the Rfam family "Bacterial small subunit ribosomal RNA", at positions 917 to 1269 of the family's 1533-position model. The record is from RNAcentral.